This 251-nucleotide ribosomal RNA is filed under the name uncultured bacterium. RNAcentral describes it as "partial 16S ribosomal RNA". It matches the Rfam family "Bacterial small subunit ribosomal RNA", at positions 524 to 775 of the family's 1533-position model. The record is from RNAcentral.
UACGUAGGGGGCGAGCGUUAUCCGGAUUUAUUGGGCGUAAAGCGUGCGUAGGCGGCUUGUUAAGUCCAGAAUUAAAGCCCGAGGCUUAACCUCGGUUCGUUCUGGAUACUGGCAGGCUUGAGUAUGGUAGAGGCAAAUGGAAUUCCUAGUGUAGCGGUGAAAUGCGUAGAUAUUAGGAGGAACACCAGUGGCGAAGGCGAUUUGCUGGGCCAUCACUGACGCUGAGGUACGAAAGCGUGGGUAGCAAAUAG